UCAAGAGUACGCUUUUUGAUCCCUUCUUC
RNAcentral lists this non-coding RNA (29 nucleotides) under Mus musculus (house mouse). Lineage: Eukaryota; Metazoa; Chordata; Mammalia; Rodentia; Muridae. The record is from RNAcentral.